UCCGUAGGUGAACCUGCGGAAGGAUCAUUAUCGUGGGGCUUCGGCCCCGUCGAGAUAACACCCUUGCCUUUACAGUACCGCCCGUUUCCUCGGCAGCCUCGGCUGCCAAUGGGGACCCCAAAAAACACUUUGCAGUACCUGUAACAGUCUGAACAAACAAACAAAAAUUAAAACUUUCAACAACGGAUCUCUUGGUUCUGGCAUCGAUGAAGAACGCAGCGAAAUGCGAUAAGUAGUGUGAAUUGCAGAAUUCAGUGAAUCAUCGAAUCUUUGAACGCACCUUGCACUCCUUGGUAUUCCGAGGAGUAUGCCUGUUUGAGUGUCUGUAAAUCAUCAAUCCAUCUUCACUUUGUUGUGGAGUUUGGAUUGGACUUGGGGAUUGCUGUCCUUUACAGGUUGGCUUCCCUUAAAGAUAUUAGUUGGACUGAGUUGCAAUGCUACGUGUAGUGUGAUAAUAUCUUCACUGCAUAGUUGUAAUGAAGUUUAGCUUCUAACCGUCCUUUACUGGACACUACUUGACCAUUAGACCUCAAAUCAGGUAGGACUACCCGGCUGAACUUAAGGCAUAUCAAUAAGGGGGGGAGGGAAGGUCGGACUGGCCAAGGGCACACAGGGGGGGAUA
This 622-nucleotide ribosomal RNA is filed under the name uncultured fungus. RNAcentral describes it as "eukaryotic LSU rRNA". The stretch from base 172 to 325 matches the Rfam family "5.8S ribosomal RNA". Lineage: Eukaryota; Fungi. The record is from RNAcentral.